CGGCGGCGGUGGCGGCGGGACUGCAUGAACUGGCCGAGGUGGUCCUCGCCAAACAAGCGGGCGGCAGCAAGGUGCUCCCCACGGUGAGGAACGGACGCGCUCAACGCCUUCCUUCCCAACCAGAUAUGAGAAAGAAGAAAUAGGACCAAGAAAAUUAUUUGCUCAUAUAUUCAUGUGUCGUGCGGAGAAGAACCCGAAUGAAGAACUUGGUAUGCCGAGUAAUGUGCAGGUACAGAAUUAUCAUCAUAGCAAAUAGAAUUAUCUGCAUAUUGUUUGGAGGAUAACAAUUCCUCAAAUUGGCUCAUUUAAUUUAUACUGUACGCCCAGUUAUUGUUGUCUUGGUUACUCGAUUUGUCCAAACUACAAAAUACAUAUUAUUUUCAGUCAUGUAUAUUCGUACUGGCUUAACUAAUUAAUGAAUUCAUCAAAUGCCCUUGCUUAUGAUAGUAUCUCUUUGGCAUUUUCCUCUGCAUGCUUUUUUCUAGGCUAUCUGUCUUUCCAUACCCUGCUCUCCUUGCUUAUUUUAUUAUUAGUCGAAUAUAAUAUCAGAUCACCUACCAUCAUUAUUCUUUAUUACAAUCUCAUAGGAAAGAAGUCUGAUUAGUUGGGUAUUCUUAGCUAGCAUUCAAAAUGGGAUGUUGCGCCGCCAUUAAAUGAGCAUAAAUAUAAAGAGAAGGUGCACACAAAGUGGAGGCUUAGAUUAAUGCUUUAGAGUUUAGCCUGAAUA
Molecule: non-coding RNA, 727 nt
Organism: Triticum urartu
Lineage: Eukaryota; Viridiplantae; Streptophyta; Magnoliopsida; Poales; Poaceae
Source: RefSeq, a predicted model, not a curated record